This is a long non-coding RNA of Sarcophilus harrisii (Tasmanian devil), 2330 nucleotides long. The record is from Ensembl. NCBI's taxonomy places the organism in Eukaryota, Metazoa, Chordata, Mammalia, Dasyuromorphia, Dasyuridae.
UACCUUGCCCUUCUUAACAAUUUAAUUGAGUUUUUCGAAAUAAAAAUAUAGGGAGAGAAGAUGGCAAAUGGUCUCUUGGCCAGGUAUGGCCACAAUGAAGAGGUAUUCUUAGGCCUUUGUUUAUGUUAAUCUUUCAGGAGAAUAGUAAAAUAUGGGGAUAUUGAAGAGUCAAGCUAGAUAAUAAGUGGUGAUUUCUUUAAAAUUUAUUAGUAACUAUUGUUGGUCUCUAUACAAGACUUCAAAAUGCAUGACCAUAUCUAAUUAAUUCUAUCAGUAGUUGAACAUUUCUGAGAGCAAAACAAAUUUCUUUUUCAAAUUAAUUACUGAGACCAUUUGUGCCUAGCAUAUACUAGCAGCAUACAUGACACAAUACAAAAAAAGCACCUGAAGUUAGAGGUGGAUUUUUUUCAUGAAGUAAUUUUAAAUUAUGAGGUGGAAAUGGUUAUCAAUAUUUUUGGGAGUCUUUAGCAGUGGCAAAAUGUGCCAAGUGAUAUGAUUCUUUGGAUUAUAUUGUGUGUAAGCUUACAGAAUUGUUCAGAAGUCAGAAUAGCUCCUGCUUUUCUAGUGUUUCAUAAUUGGUGUUAAAUAAUUCCCAAGCUUUUAACCAAUAAUCUGCUUUGCAUCUGUUUUCUUUCUAAAGUGUAAGAAUCAUGGUGGCCCUUUCUAAAAGUGACACUUGUUGCUUAUCCUUUACUGCCUUUUUUUUUUUUUUUAAUUAAUAGUGUGGGUUUUUAUUUCUUUCAAGCAAUUAGUAUUGUUUUGUGCCAUGUUUCCUUAAUUUGUGAUUUUCUGAAUUUAUAAGGUUGACAGUGGUGAUUGUUAAUGAGCUUUGGCUUUGCUUAUUACUGGGCAGUCUUGAUAUAUUAGUUUUUCAGUGUGUGAAACAGUGUCUGUUUUGUAUUCACUGAAAACUAUACUCUCCUUUCUCCUUGCUUAACUUGCUAAAAAAGCAAAAACAAAAACACCACUUCCUACCUGUGCAAUCCCUAAACAGUGCUUUGCUGGCUGGGGGGGUGGGGAGUGGGAUGUUAUGGUUCAGUCCCUGUAGCCCUGCAUUUGGACUCCUGCGUUACUGCACACUGGGAUCUGAGAUUGUUCAGUGUUGUGAGUGGCAAAUUCUUUAACACCAGCAGCACCGAAAAGUGCACUAUGGGCAUUCGUACAGUUGUCCAAAUGCAGGCUGUCUUCUUGUAUUCAGGAGAAACUGAAGAUUAGAGUUCUGUAGGAAUUACUAUUAGUUUUUUUGAAAGCAAUGAAUAUUUAUUAUUAUUUUUAUUGUUAUUGUUUAUUUUUGCCUUUUUUUUUUUUUUUUUUUUUUCCCUUGCUGAAUAGACCAGGCACUGGAAAAACAAAACCAUGGAUAAUUUUUUUUUUCCUCCAUUGUGAUCUUUUUCAACUCUUAUUCAAAAGUGCCAACAUAUUGUUCCCAUGAAGCCAGCUGGCCUCUCCAACUUCUUACCCUUGGGUGUGAGGAGAAAAUGGGACCUUUCUUUUUUCAUUGCCUAACAUUGAAGAAUUAAUGUUGUGCACAGUUGAGUCAUUUUUGUGGAUUGUAAAGUGUUGUGUAACUAUGGGUAGCUGUUGGUUGGAAAGCCAAGCACAGAACUUUAGAACUGAAUAAGUUUUCAAAGCACUUGCAGAUUCUACUGACCUAGUAAUCCAAAGUCUAAAGGAUUUUAAAAAUUAAUGCUUUGAUUUUUAGGGAAAAGAAAAGCCCCAGUUUGUUAUAAAAUGUUCUAUUAAUCUGUUUUUAAAAUUAGCUUUUUUUAAAAAAAAAUUUUAAAAAGUGGAAAUAAAGUUGAAUGAAGUGCCAUGUAAAUUGUAGCUUGCUAGUUUUCUCUUAAAUAGAAUGGAUCUAUGGGGUUAUCAUUUCAAUACUCUGUGUCAUCUCUGGAGGAACAAUGUUUCUUUUUUGUUGAACACUCAGACUAAAUCACCAGCUGCUUUAUUUUUCUAUUUAUUACAUUUAUCCAGUUUAUGAGGUCUCAAAACUAUUGACCACCACGCUGCUCAGCCAAGGUAUUUUUCACAGUGGACACUGUACAACAUGUGCGUGCAAGAGGACACAGUUGAGUCUUGGUAUUUUUUUAUUAAUGUGAAAAAUGACUAAACAAAGCAGUCCUGCCUUUUCAAAUCUUGUGGCAGCUCAGAAGGGAGGUGCUUAUGAACCUUAACUACUAUGUCAGAUGACAAAAUACUUUUUUUUCCACUUUGGAGAUUGGGUACUGCUCACACAUGAUGUAUAGGGCUAAAUAUCUGCUUGUUUCCUUGCACCUGUGUACUUUUCCCUUCUGUCCCUGCCCUCUCUUUACCCUGUAGGCAAUAAAUGG